AACGAACGCUGGCGGCAUGCCUAACACAUGCAAGUCGAACGAGACCUUCGGGUCUAGUGGCGCACGGGUGCGUAACGCGUGGGAAUCUGCCCUUGGGUUCGGGAUAACGGUUGGAAACGACUGCUAAUACCGGAUGACGUCUUCGGACCAAAGAUUUAUCGCCCAGGGAUGAGCCCGCGUCGGAUUAGCUAGUUGGUAGGGGAAAAGCCUACCAAGGCGACGAUCCGUAGCUGGUGUGAGAGGAUGAGCAGCCACACUGGGACUGAGACACGGCCCAGACUCCUACGGGAGGCAGCAGUGGGGAAUAUUGGACAAUGGGCGAAAGCCUGAUCCAGCAAUGCCGCGUGAGUGAUGAAGGCCUUAGGGUUGUAAAGCUCUUUUACCCGGGAUGAUAAUGACAGUACCGGGAGAAUAAGCCCCGGCUAACUCCGUGCCAGCAGCCGCCGUAA
Molecule: ribosomal RNA, 449 nt
Filed under: uncultured bacterium
Lineage: Bacteria
Description: partial 16S ribosomal RNA
Rfam family: Bacterial small subunit ribosomal RNA
Source: RNAcentral